Molecule: ribosomal RNA, 253 nt
Filed under: uncultured bacterium
Lineage: Bacteria
Description: partial 16S ribosomal RNA
Rfam family: Bacterial small subunit ribosomal RNA
Source: RNAcentral
UACGUAGGGGGCAAGCGUUGUCCGGAAUCAUUGGGCGUAAAGAGCGUGUAGGCGGUCCGGUAAGUCGGCUGUGAAAGUCCAGGGCUCAACCCUGGGAUGCCGGUCGAUACUGCCGGACUAGAGUUCGGAAGAGGCGAGUGGAAUUCCCGGUGUAGCGGUGAAAUGCGCAGAUAUCAGGAGGAACACCAAUUGCGAAGGCAGCUCGCUGGGACGUUACUGACGCUGAGACGCGAAAGCGUGGGUAGCAAACAGG